Molecule: unclassified non-coding RNA, 191 nt
Filed under: rhizosphere metagenome
Description: partial ribosomal RNA internal transcribed spacer region
Source: RNAcentral
AAGAAAGGGGGCUCCGGCCCCCAGACCUCCCGCCCGUGUCUACCGACCUCUGUUGCUUUGGCGGGCCCGUGUCCGGGCCGGUCCCGGCGCCUUUUGAAAGCCCGUCAAAAGCCCACACAAACUCGUUUACCGGUGAUGUCUGAGUAACAAAAACAACAGCUAAAACUUUCAACAACGGAUCUCUUGGUUCU